Molecule: ribosomal RNA, 681 nt
Filed under: uncultured bacterium
Lineage: Bacteria
Description: bacterial SSU rRNA
Rfam family: Bacterial small subunit ribosomal RNA
Source: RNAcentral
AGUCGAGGGGCAGCAUAAUGGAUAGCAAUAUCUAUGGUGGCGACCGGCGCACGGGUGCGUAACGCGUAUGCAACCUACCUUUAACAGGGGGAUAACACUGAGAAAUUGGUACUAAUACCCCAUAAUAUCAUAGAAGGCAUCUUUUAUGGUUGAAAAUUCCGAUGGUUAGAGAUGGGCAUGCGUUGUAUUAGCUAGUUGGUGGGGUAACGGCUCACCAAGGCGACGAUACAUAGGGGGACUGAGAGGUUAACCCCCCACACUGGUACUGAGACACGGACCAGACUCCUACGGGAGGCAGCAGUGGGGAAUAUUGGUCAAUGGACGCAAGUCUGAACCAGCCAUGCCGCGUGCAGGAUGACGGCUCUAUGAGUUGUAAACUGCUUUUGUACGAGGGUAAACGCAGAUACGUGUAUCUGUCUGAAAGUAUCGUACGAAUAAGGAUCGGCUAACUCCGUGCCAGCAGCCGCGGUAAUACGGAGGAUUCAAGCGUUAUCCGGAUUUAUUGGGUUUAAAGGGUGCGUAGGCGGUUUGAUAAGUUAGAGGUGAAAUUUCGGGGCUCAACCCUGAACGUGCCUCUAAUACUGUUGAGCUAGAGAGUAGUUGCGGUAGGCGGAAUGUAUGGUGUAGCGGUGAAAUGCUUAGAGAUCAUACAGAACACCGAUUGCGAAGGCAGCUUACCAA